CUUUCUGCUACAGUUUUGUUUCUCAGAUUCCAUAGGCAUGUCAUUACAGAUUCCAGUAGAGCUUUGCCAGUUAGUUGUGCUUUUCUCUUGCAUUUUUGCAGGUUGAUGGUAAAUGUAAGAAUAACUGGGAUGUUUAUACCCGCAAUUCAGGGAGGCAGAAUAAUUGAUGGAAGCAAUGGAGAUGUUGCAGUGGACCACUAUAAUCAUGAUCUUGUACCUACUGACAUGAUAAAGUAUGUGGUUGGAUUAAUUAAGAAGGCAGCAACCAUGCUCUCCUCUUCGUGCAGAUCAUAAGUCAAUUAUUAUGCGGAAAAAUAUGUGCCUGUUGUUAGUUUUUUAUGCAUAUGAUAAAAAAUCUAGAAUGCAUAUUGAAAACUUGAUACCUGUGUCAAAUAAAAUUAGCCGACCGCCAUAUAUGUUAAUAAAUAUAUAAAAAAAAUUAA
Molecule: long non-coding RNA, 443 nt
Organism: Populus trichocarpa (black cottonwood)
Lineage: Eukaryota; Viridiplantae; Streptophyta; Magnoliopsida; Malpighiales; Salicaceae
Exons: 3
Source: RefSeq, a predicted model, not a curated record